RNAcentral lists this long non-coding RNA (1750 nucleotides) under Mustela putorius furo (domestic ferret). RNAcentral describes it as "lncRNA (ENSMPUG00000029182.1)". Lineage: Eukaryota; Metazoa; Chordata; Mammalia; Carnivora; Mustelidae. The record is from RNAcentral.
GGCAACGGAUUGCGUGCUGGCGACAGAAGAUGAGGUGAUGCGUGCCACCUCCAGACCUGGUCGUCACCCCGACUGUCUGCAUUCUUCCUUCUUGCUCCCCGAUGACGUGCUGGAGGUCACACACUGGAGAUGAGACGGCAGAGCGCGGCUCCCCAGGGCGCCGACAGCAGCUGCCCAGGGCAAUGCGGACAGGCUGCGGAAGGACGGGCUCGCACCCAAGCCAGCGCGAGGCGUCAAGCGAGCGCCCCAGAUCGCCCCAGAUCCUCCUGUGCCUGGCCUGGUCGCUCGGCAAUUCCGAUGAACAAGUUUGGCUACUGAAGUCCUAUAAAGGUUCAUUCACUUUUGUCCCAAUAUUUUAAUACAAAAAAUUUCGAACAUAUGGAAAAUUUGAUGUAAUUUUACAGUGAACACUCGCCCCCCAGAUUCUACCCUUAAUAUUCCACCACGUUUGCUUCACACACAUCCAGCCUUCCAGCCGCCCGAGAAUUCUCACCUUUUACAGAGUAAGCUGCAGACAGCUGUCCCCACCCCGCAAGCACGUUUGUCUGCCGGCAUGUUAUUAACCAGAGUUCAAUGUUUGCUUAUACUUUUCCACUUUGAGGUAAAUCUUACAUAUAGUGGGGGCACCUGAGUGGGUGUUGGUUAAGCAUCAGCCUUGGGCUCAGGUCAUGGUCUCAGGGUCCUGGGAUCGAGUCCUGCGUUGGGCUCCCGGCUCAGCGGAGGGCCUGCUUCUCCCUCUGCCUCUGCUCUCCCUGCCACUUGUGUGCUCUCUCUCUCUCUCUCUCUGUCAAGUAAAUCUUACACAUAAUGAAAUGUGCAGAUCUCAGGUGUUCCUUUGCUGAAUUUAGACAAAACAGGUACAAAUCCUCUCACCAUACACAACACUCCCAACAUUCCUGAAAAUUCCCUCAUGUCCCCUCCUGGUCGCUCCCUGACUCCAGCCCCCCAAAACAGUCCCUGCUUUGAUUUGUUCUACCACAGAUUCGUUUUCCCUAGAGUCCAGAAUCUCAUAUAAAUGGCAUCAUAAGUUAUGAAAUUAUUCAGGUAAGGCUUCCUUCACUCAGCAUUACGAUUUUGUGAUUCACCCAUGUUCUUGCGUGUGUUAGUGAAUCAUUCUUUUUAUUGCCGAGAAGUAUUCUUUUGAAUAUGCCAUGAUUUGUGUAUCCACUGAUGGACACCUGGGCUCUUUCCAGGGUUUGGAAAUUAUGGAGAGAGAUGAUCGGAGUAUUCUUGUUCAAGACUUUCUGUGAAUUUGGGUGUCUUUUCGCUGCUUCGCCAUGCUACCUUUGAAUUAUCAUGAUUUCCGUUUUAAUUGCCCGUAAUGCUGUUUUUACCCUCUGAUAAUAAUAAUAAUCCCAUUUCUGGAAUGCUUACUACAGUGACAGGCCCUUUAAUUUCUCCUUAUAAGAAUCCUGCAAAAUAGGUAUAAUUACAUCCGUUUUACAUACGAAGGGACAGAUGUGGGCUCAUUAAGUGAGUUUCGUGUGUGGACUCCAAGUCAUCCCUCAUCUGAGGCCCUCUCCAGACUGCUCGGGGCUCCCUGGGGAUGGGACAGUGGCUCCUGAGUAAGCCACCUGGACCUUUUUUCUCAAUUCUUGGAGGGGCAUCUAGAUCUGAACAUUACGCUGCUCUACCGAUUUUAAUAAUAUUGUUAGUAGGCUUUCUGCUGUUGUAGUAUGACAUGCUUUCCGUGUUCUGUUGUUUUAUUUUUAAUGCACACUUUGUAGAAUUUUGUUGCACAAAGAUUGAU